ACGAACGCUGGCGGCGUGCUUAACACAUGCAAGUCGAACGGGCCUUGUCCCCUUUUUUUUGGGGGUGGGGUUAGUGGCGAACGGGUGAGUAACACGUGAGUAACCUGCCCCUCACUUCUGGAUAACCGCUUGAAAGGGUGGCUAAUACGGGGUGUUCUGGCCUGCUCGCAUGGGUGGGUUUGGAAAGAUUCGACCGGUUUUGGUUGUUUUGGUGGGGGAUGGGCUCGCGGCCUAUCAGCUUGUUGGUGGGGUGAUGGCCUGCCAAGGCUUUGACGGGUAGCCGGCCUGAGAGGGUGGGCGGUCACACUGGGUCUGAGACACGGCCCAGACUCCUACGGGAGGCAGCAGUGGGGAAUAUUGCACAAUGGGCGCAAGCCUGAUGCAGCGACGCCGCGUGAGGGAUGGAGGCCUUCGGGUUGUGAACCUCUUUCGCCAGUGAAGAAGGUCCUGCUCUUUGUGGUGGGGUUGACGGUAGCUGGGUUAAUGAAGCGCCGGCUAACUACGUG
Molecule: ribosomal RNA, 506 nt
Filed under: uncultured bacterium
Lineage: Bacteria
Description: partial 16S ribosomal RNA
Rfam family: Bacterial small subunit ribosomal RNA
Source: RNAcentral